RNAcentral lists this ribosomal RNA (499 nucleotides) under uncultured bacterium. RNAcentral's name for it is "bacterial SSU rRNA". It matches the Rfam family "Bacterial small subunit ribosomal RNA", at positions 791 to 1297 of the family's 1533-position model. The record is from RNAcentral.
UAGUCCACGCCGUAAACGAUGGUCACUAGCUGUUCGGCUUCGUGCUGAGUGGCUAAGCGAAAGUGAUAAGUGACCCACCUGGGGAGUACGUUCGCAAGAAUGAAACUCAAAGGAAUUGACGGGGGCCCGCACAAGCGGUGGAGCAUGUGGUUUAAUUCGAUGAUACGCGAGGAACCUUACCAGGGCUUAAAUGUAGGUUGACAGGUCUAGAGAUAGAUUUUUCUUCGGACAACUUACAAGGUGCUGCAUGGUUGUCGUCAGCUCGUGCCGUGAGGUGUCAGGUUAAGUCCUAUAACGAGCGCAACCCCUGUUGUUAGUUACCAGCACGUAGUGGUGGGGACUCUAGCAAGACUGCCGGUGCAAACCGCGAGGAAGGUGGGGAUGACGUCAAAUCACCACGGCCCUUACGUCCUGGGCCACACACGUGCUACAAUGGUAGGUACAGAGAGCAGCCACUUAGCGAUAAGGAGCGAAUCUAUAAAGCCUAUCUCAGUUCGGA